RNAcentral lists this long non-coding RNA (274 nucleotides) under Lathyrus oleraceus (garden pea). Its description in RNAcentral is "Pisum sativum (pea) long non-coding RNA (PSAT_LNC037929)". Lineage: Eukaryota; Viridiplantae; Streptophyta; Magnoliopsida; Fabales; Fabaceae. The record is from RNAcentral.
GAUCGUAUAACACAGGAUAACCAUGGACCGAUCUUAGUGGGAGGCUUAGUGACCAUGAUAGCAAAUGCCAUCGGACUGAGACAACCACUUAUCAGGCUCAACCCUUUAGGUGGGAUAUGACCAAUGAAUAUCGGAUUCUGUUUCAACACUGGUAUCAUUAGGAACCUAGGCUCGGAUGUGUUCGAAUUUCUAAUUAACUGCCAAGUAGUACACCAGUUUACCCUACCAGACCAUAGGACAAGUGUACAUGAUAGGAAUAACUAGCUCUAUGAUU